UUUGUAUGUUUUUGUUUCUUUCUGCAAACCAACACUUUUUAUAGGGAAGCAAGGUGUAUGUAUAGUAAAUAUGUUGUAGAAAAAGUAGACGUAUCAUUUGUGACUUCACCACUACAUAUAUGCACGCCUUGCUCUUUGAAUUAGGAAAAUUAAUUUGUGUAGACAUUUAUUAUUAGCAGAAAACGAAAAGCUACUAAAGAUUAGUAAUUCCAUAAGAGAGCUCAGAUUGAUUCUAUAUGUAUCUUGCAAGUCAGAUGCAACAAAUCAGAGAACCAUUCAAAUCAACCCAACAUGAAUUAUGGGUCAGCUCAAAUAUCGAGUAAAAUAUAUUUACAGGUCAACUCAAAUAUUGAUUACAUUUUGUGUGAUGACCAACCGAAUUAAUUCACUAAUUUUUUUUAAUUGAUUACCAAUUUAUCA
Molecule: long non-coding RNA, 420 nt
Filed under: Panax ginseng (ginseng)
Lineage: Eukaryota; Viridiplantae; Streptophyta; Magnoliopsida; Apiales; Araliaceae
Description: long non-coding RNA (PGIN_LNC003487)
Source: RNAcentral